UACGGAGGAUGCGAGCGUUAUCCGGAUUUAUUGGGUUUAAAGGGUGCGUAGGCGGAAGUUCAAGUCAGCGGUAAAAUCGAGGGGCUCAACCCCUUUAAGCCGUUGAAACUGGGUUUCUUGAGUGGGUGAGAAGUGUGCGGAAUGUGUGGUGUAGCGGUGAAAUGCAUAGAUAUCACACAGAACUCCGAUUGCGAAGGCAGCACACCGGCGCCCAACUGACGCUGAGGCACGAAAGCGUGGGGAUCAAACAGG
RNAcentral lists this ribosomal RNA (252 nucleotides) under uncultured bacterium. Its description in RNAcentral is "partial 16S ribosomal RNA". It matches the Rfam family "Bacterial small subunit ribosomal RNA", at positions 524 to 776 of the family's 1533-position model. The record is from RNAcentral.